Non-coding RNA from Microcebus murinus (gray mouse lemur), 3287 nucleotides. Lineage: Eukaryota; Metazoa; Chordata; Mammalia; Primates; Cheirogaleidae. The record is from RefSeq and is a predicted model, not a curated record.
CACUCCUAUUACAGGCUGGGGGUUCAGGGCCACGAUCACCUGUGGGACCGUUACUGGGAAGUGUUCUUGGGGGCAACUCCGGUGCCGGAGUGAGAGGGACAGAGCCCAGCUAUGCAGCUGGGACAUUAACCAGCCUCCAUCCAUCCCCCUUCUGCCUGAAACUGCCUACUUUUAGCCACUUUAACAACAGGGUUGGUGACAGUCAAGACUCCCUGGCCUGGGAACAAUUCCGCCACUUAGGUGACUCUGCAUGUCUUCUCUGCCACAACAACCCGAGAUGUGCUGGUUGGGUAGAUGGGCUCUCAGAUGACAGCCUCAGUUCCACUCUUUCCAGGUUUUCGGGGUGACACUCCUGCACCUCACAAUCACCCUUACCUGCUGACACCAGUAGAAAGGGAAGGACGGGCGUUCUGGAAGAGCAGGUCCCGCGGGCCCCACCGGAGACCCACCAACGGUGCAGAGACUGGCCUCCCUGCCCGGACUGUCAGACCAAACCCCAGGCCUCCUUCCGAAUUCUCCUCUCGGCCCAUCUGUUUGUUCUCUGGUGCUCUCCAGCUGCCAGUAACUGCCUCGGCCAAACUCAAAUCAAAGCUAUUAGCUGGAUAAUUGCUCUAAUGAGGGCACAGAAUGAAUCACCAGGACAGCUCUCACCCUGGAAAAAUUAAAUGGGUAAACUGCCUACUUGUGCUCCUGGGGACUCUGGUGGCUUUCUCUGCGCUCCCUGUGGGUCUUCUCGGGGGAGACUUGUUCUCUGACACUGGAAGAACUAACGGAAAAUUACAGCGAUGGGAUUUUGUUACAUGGUUAUGAGUUUGGGGAGGGAUAAUCGAGGCCAUGCCGGGGAACAAGCCGUGGUGUGCAAUGUCGUGAGCACAGAUUCCGGCGGGAGGCCGCCGAAAAUAGAACCUUAACAGUCACCGCUUACCACGGGAAACGUGCGCCAGUGACUGGUCUUUCCGAAAAGUAAUAGCAUCUACCUCGUUUGGAUGUUUUCGGGGUUAAAUGAGAUAAUACACGGAAAAGAACUUUGAACAGUCCCUACCACAUAUGCACGUCCAAUGAGCGUUACUUACCUAAGACGGCCGUUGGUGUAUUCCUUUGUGAAUCGGUGUAGCAAUUCAUGGACAAGAUGUUACUCACCCGAGGGCAGAAACUGGUGCGUGUACGAGGCUCUUCACGGCAGUGUUGUUGGUAAGAGCAAAACCCCGAGGAAACAACCCACUUGACCAUGCGCAGAGGGUGGGUUGGUGAGUUGUGAUACAUCCACACACAGCACUACUUGGUCAUACCGAGAAAAUAAUGACGCAGCUGCGACGUUUAUCUGCAGAGACGUCUCCAAGGCCGCGUGAAACGACAGUGGCAGCAGAGGGCACGUGGCCCACCGCCGACCAAGCGAGAGAAAAGGGGACACAGGGUCCACAGGGGGCACACCCGGCCGCCUGACUGCCCCAGUCACUGACACCCGAGAACCGGGGAAGAGAACCGCAAGGCACCUGGGCUGCUCGGGGGCGGUGAGCGAGAAGGACUUCUCACCUGGUGCCGGGCGUGAUUUGAAUUUAUGGCCGUGUGCAUGCACACCUGUGCAAACCAGACUGCUUUAAAAACCGGAACACAACCAUUACAACAAACGCUGUUUUAGUCCACUCAAGCUGCUAUAAAAAUGCCACCGACUGGCUGGCUCACAAACAGCAGAAAUCUCUCUCUUCCGGCUCUGGAGGCUGGGACGUCCAGCUAGAGGUGCCGAAAGAGUCGUGAUGUCACAGACGGCACCUUCUCUCUGUACCCCAGACGGCAGAGAGAGGGCGGUGGGUCCCUCUCGGGUCUCUUCUGUAAGGACACUCAUCCCACUCCUGGGUGCUCCACCCGUGUGACCCAAUCACCUCCCAAAGGCCCCACCUCCUAUCUCCGCCACCUUGGGGGAAAGGAUUCCAACCUACGAAUUUUGGGGAGACACAAACAUUCCGACCACAGCACCCACCUAUCUGGAGCUGCUGAGCUCCUGCCCUGGCUCCGCACAGGGGUGUCUCGGACCCGUGCGCUCUCUUUAUUGCGUUUCUAUUUCAUCUUUCCUCCAAAGCACCCAAGGCACUUCUCCAAGUCCCUCACAUUUUGCGAACACAGCCAGAGACAUGCUCUUAGCCUCCAGGAGACCGGCCCACGGGGACCCCGCGCUGGGGCGAGUCCGUCUGAACUCUGCCCUGUGUCUCUCUCGCUCCCCGGCUUCUGAUUUGUGUUUUCUUCCUCCCCGAGAAUGCGGCUAAGCGGGAAACGUCACCUUCGUCCCUGCUGCGGUUUCCGAGUCGCCAGACAAAAAAGCCCCGGCACGCGCCAAGUCGGCUCUGCGUUUGGGGAGCCCCGGCGAACACGGCCUGGCACCGUGACGCCGUGACUGGGUGUCAGGAUUUGACUAAGAGGAUUUAAUUUUCUCAGCAACAGACGGAAGUGGCUGGUUUGAAGCAGCCCGAGUGUCUUAGAGAAGGGUAUUUUUCACAAAGUUGCUCAUCUCGACGGGGACUGUUGUGAUGAGAGAGAUUGUCUGUUUUCGUUCCAAGAGACAUUCGAGAAUAACAUUAUUACCACUCCACAGCUCUCGGUAACAUCUUAGAGAGCCGGUAACACAUCUCCCCCAUGCUAAAUGUCUGUAACAAUGCUCUCCAGCGCUGGUACUUUGGAAGCUCCAAGGAAACUUGUGCAAUCAGGGUGUAAACAAUUGCACGGCUUCUACCGAGCGCGCGGCUGUCGGGCACGGGGGAGCGCACGUCUCCAAGCCUCUGCUGCGGCACCUGUGUUGAUGUCUAAACGCGUGCACGUGUUCCCAGGGGCGCCAGGGAGCAGAGGGAAAUGCACCCGACCGGCAGCGCAUCGGGAUCAGAGCGUUUGACAGUCGCCCGCCACACCGAAAAGCUGGAAACAAAUGCCAACUAGAAGCGAGUUAUUUACGCUACCAAAAACUGGUCAUCAGCAGAAGCCAGACGGCAGGGCUGUCCACGCGGAACCUCCGCGGGUCCGGGAAAGCAGGACGCCAUUGGUCCCCCCGCGGACCCACGCUGGGGCAAGGACGAGAGGACACCGGGCAGACAGGGACAGAUGUGCGCCCGUCUGGCUGUCCGAGCCAGAGUCCCAGCGUGGGAGCCUCAGCCUGAAGAGCAGCUAUAAAACCACCGCUGUCCACCAACACGCCAGUGGCACCUGCCUGGGCCCCUCCCUGUGGCGUCACCUCCACACCCGCCAAAGCCCACCCCAGCCCGAAUUCCGUGGCCUCCUGCUCUUUCCCCUUGAAAUUUUAA